Trametes pubescens is the source of this 109-nucleotide transfer RNA. It matches the Rfam family "tRNA". From Rfam's summary of the family: Transfer RNA (tRNA) molecules are approximately 80 nucleotides in length. Their secondary structure includes four short double-helical elements and three loops (D, anti-codon, and T loops). NCBI's taxonomy places the organism in Eukaryota, Fungi, Basidiomycota, Agaricomycetes, Polyporales, Polyporaceae. The record is from Rfam.
GGCAACAUGGCCGAGUGGUCCAAGGCGUGUGACUCAAGCGAAAGCUUGCCUGCUUCAGCGGGUUUCUCAUCUGGGUAUCCAGGCGUGGGUUCGAACCCCACUGUUGUCA